Molecule: ribosomal RNA, 835 nt
Filed under: uncultured bacterium
Lineage: Bacteria
Description: bacterial SSU rRNA
Rfam family: Bacterial small subunit ribosomal RNA
Source: RNAcentral
CGGGAAGGCCGAUGCUUGCAUUGGCUGGAGAGUGGCGAACGGGUGAGUAACACGUAGGUGACGUGCCCUGAAGAGGGGGACAACAGGUGGAAACGCCUGCUAAUACCCCAUAAGUUGCGGAUGUCAAGUUGGCAACGAAAACUCCGGUGCUUCAGGAGUGGCCUGCGGUCCAUCAGCUAGUUGGUGAGGUAACGGCUCACCAAGGCGAAGACGGAUAGGGGGCGUGAGAGCGUGACCCCCCACACUGGUACUGACACACGGACCAGAUACCUACGGGUAGCAGCAGCGAGGAAUAUUGCGCAAUGGGGGCAACCCUGACGCAGCAACGCCGCGUGAAGGACGAAGGCCUUCGGGUCGUAAACUUCUUUUCUGAGGGAAGAGAACGGACGGUACCUCAGGAAUAAGGCCCGGCUAACUACGUGCCAGCAGCCGCGGUAACACGUAGGGGCCAAGCGUUAUCCGGAAUUACUGGGCGUAAAGGGCGUGCAGGCGGUUUAGAAAGUUGGAUGUGAAAGCUCCUGGCUCAACUGGGAGAGGCCAUUCAAAACUACUAGACUAGAGGGCGAUAGAGGAAAGUGGAAUUCCCGGUGUAGCGGUGAAAUGCGUAGAUAUCGGGAGGAACACCAGUGGCGAAGGCGGCUUUCUGGGUCGACCCUGACGCUGAGACGCGACAGCUAGGGGAGAGAACGGGAUUAGAAACCCCGGUAUUCCUAGCCGUAAACGAUGUCAACUAGGUGUGGGAGGAGGCAACUCCUUCUGUACUGCAGUAAACACAGUAAGUUGACCGCCUGGGGAGUACGGCCGCAAGGCUAAAACUCAAAGGAAUUGGCGGGGA